CCUACGGGUGGCUGCAGUGGGGAAUAUUGGACAAUGGGCGAAAGCCUGAUCCAGCCAUGCCGCGUGUGUGAAGAAGGCCUUCGGGUUGUAAAGCACUUUCAGUGGGGAAGAAAGCCUUGGGGCUAAUACCCUCGAGGAAGGACAUCACCCACAGAAGAAGCACCGGCUAACUCCGUGCCAGCAGCCGCGGUAAUACGGAGGGUGCGAGCGUUAAUCGGAAUUACUGGGCGUAAAGCGCGCGUAGGCGGUCUGAUAAGCCGGUUGUGAAAGCCCCGGGCUCAACCUGGGAACGGCAUCCGGAACUGUCAGGCUAGAGUGCAGGAGAGGAAGGUAGAAUUCCCGGUGUAGCGGUGAAAUGCGUAGAGAUCGGGAGGAAUACCAGUGGCGAAGGCGGCCUUCAGGACUGACACUGACGCUGAGGUGCGAAAGCGUGGGUAGCAAACAGGAUUAGAUACCCGAGUAGU
RNAcentral lists this ribosomal RNA (464 nucleotides) under Vreelandella stevensii. RNAcentral describes it as "partial 16S ribosomal RNA". It matches the Rfam family "Bacterial small subunit ribosomal RNA", at positions 338 to 794 of the family's 1533-position model. The record is from RNAcentral. Lineage: Bacteria; Pseudomonadati; Pseudomonadota; Gammaproteobacteria; Oceanospirillales; Halomonadaceae.